CUGCUAACGGCGGCAUCAAACUGGGUUAAUCUCAUCCCGCUCUCUUUGCAGAGGAUUGAUGGCAGUUUAAUAGGGAGAUAAUGACUUCCCUAGAGAGAGGGAGAAAUAGAGAGAGAGAGAGAGAAAGAAUGAGUGUGAGAGGCAGGGAGAAGGAGUGCCUGGCAAAACAAUGGUGUGUGUGAGAAAAUGUCUUUGUGAAAGAGAAUGUGUGUAUGUAAGAGAAAAUGUCUUUGUGAAAGAGAAUGUGUGUAUGUAAGAGAAUUUGUGUGUGUGAGAUAGAGAGAGGCAGAAAUAGGGAUUUCCUGACAGAAUAACGUGUGUGAGUAAGAAAAGGCAUGAUAAAGUGCAGAGUUGUGUGGUAUAGUGUAGAGUUGUGUGAUAUAGUGUAGAGUUGUGUGGUAUAGUGUAGAGUUUUAUGUUAUAGUGUAGAGUAGUGGUAUAGAGUAGAGUUUUAUGGAAUAGUGUAGAGUUGUGUGAUAGUGUAGAGUUUUAUGGUAUAGUGUAGAGUUUUAUGGAUGAAGAUGAAAAAACAGAGGAACUGUGACAACAAGAAUUCAGAUAGAGGAGUGGAGGGAGAGAGAGUGACCCCCAUAGUGCACACAGGUGAGAGAGUGAUAGUGCACACAGGAGAGAGAGUGAUAGUGCACACAGGAGAGAGAGAGACCCCCAUAGUGCACACAGGAGAGAGAGUGAUAGUGCACACAGGAGAGAGAGUGACCCCAUAGUGCACACAGGAGAGAGAGUGACCCCAUAGUGCACACAGGAGAGAGAGUGAUAGUGCACACAGGAGAGAGAGUGAUAGUGCACACAGGAGAGAGAGUGAUAGUGCACACAGGAGAGAGAGUGACCCCAUAGUGCACACAGGAGAGAGAGUGAUAGUGCACACAGGAGAGAGAGUGAUAGUGCACACAGGAGAGAGAGUGACCCCCAUAGUGCACACAGGAGAGAGAGUGAUAGUGCACACAGGAGAGAGAGUGACCCCAUAGUGCACACAGGAGAGAGAGUGACCCCAUAGUGCACACAGGAGAGAGAGUGACCCCAUAGUGCACACAGGAGAGAGAGUGAUAGUGCACACAGGAGAGAGAGUGACCCCAUAGUGCACACAGGUGAGAGAGUGACCCCAUAGUGCACACAGGAGAGAGAGUUAUAGUGCACACAGGAGAGAGAGUGACCCCAUAGUGCACACAGGUGAGAGAGUGAUAGUGCACACAGGAGAGAGAGUGACCCCCAUAGUGCACACAGGUGAGAGAGUGACCCCAUAGUGCACACAGGUGAGCAAGAGAGAAGAGUCAGCACGAGCAGAAAGCUAACAGAGGAAAGACUGAACUGAGGGACGUACACACAAUGAGAAAGCAUCAAUCGUCUGUUUAAUCUUACAGUCUGACUACCAAC
Clupea harengus (Atlantic herring) is the source of this 1392-nucleotide long non-coding RNA. The record is from Ensembl. Lineage: Eukaryota; Metazoa; Chordata; Actinopteri; Clupeiformes; Clupeidae.